This 497-nucleotide ribosomal RNA is filed under the name uncultured bacterium. RNAcentral describes it as "partial 16S ribosomal RNA". It matches the Rfam family "Bacterial small subunit ribosomal RNA", at positions 28 to 507 of the family's 1533-position model. The record is from RNAcentral.
GAUGAACGCUGGCGGCGUGCCUAAUACAUGCAAGUCGAGCGAACGGACGAGAAGCUUGCUCCUUUGAUGUUAGCGGCGGACGGGUGAGUAACACGUGGAUAACCUACCUAUAAGACUGGGAUAACUUCGGGAAACCGGAGCUAAUACCGGAUAAUAUUUCGAACCGCAUGGUUCAAAAGUGAAAGAUGGCUUUGCUGUCACUUAUAGAUGGACCUGCGCUGCAUUAGCUAGUUGGUAAGGUAACGGCUUACCAAGGCAACGAUGCAUAGCCGACCUGAGAGGGUGAUCGGCCACACUGGAACUGAGACACGGUCCAGACUCCUACGGGAGGCAGCAGUAGGGAAUCUUCCGCAAUGGGCGAAAGCCUGACGGAGCAACGCCGCGUGAGUGAUGAAGGUCUUCGGAUCGUAAAACUCUGUUAUUAGGGAAGAACAUAUGUGUAAGUAACUGUGCACAUCUUGACGGUACCUAAUCAGAAAGCCACGGCUAACUACGUG